This 264-nucleotide ribosomal RNA is filed under the name uncultured archaeon. RNAcentral describes it as "partial 16S ribosomal RNA". It matches the Rfam family "Archaeal small subunit ribosomal RNA", at positions 717 to 982 of the family's 1478-position model. The record is from RNAcentral.
ACACGACUACAUUAGAUACCCCCGUAGUCCCAGCCCUAAACGAUGCGCGUUAGGUGUAUCGGUGACCACGAGUCACCGAGGUGCCGAAGGGAACCGUGAAACGUGCCGCCUGGGAAGUACGGUCGCAAGGCUGAAACUUAAAGGAAUUGGCGGGGGAGCACCACAACGGGUGGAGCUUGCGGUUUAAUUGGAUUCAACGCCGGAAAUCUUACCGGGACCGACAGCAACAUGAAGGCCAGGCUGAAGACUUUGCCGGAUUAGCUG